This 261-nucleotide long non-coding RNA is filed under the name Gossypium barbadense (sea-island cotton). Its description in RNAcentral is "long non-coding RNA (GBAR_LNC002774)". Lineage: Eukaryota; Viridiplantae; Streptophyta; Magnoliopsida; Malvales; Malvaceae. The record is from RNAcentral.
UUAAAGAGUAGAGAGAUUGGGAGCAUUAUUAAACCAUGUGAAAGUGGCUUGUGAACCGUCAUCACUUGUUUUUGUCAAUUAAGUCCUUUUAUCACAUGAAAGGAUACAAAAAAAAGAUUCAAGAAAUCCAUACAUUGUCAUGAGAGCAUAAAAAGGCCUUCUAAUGUUUUAGAUGUGGCAAUGGUUUUAUCCCUAUUGCUCUAAGAGACAAUAUGACCCUCGGACAUAGAAGCACAUGCAAUAUUUGGUUGUACUUCUCAC